RNAcentral lists this ribosomal RNA (490 nucleotides) under uncultured bacterium. RNAcentral describes it as "partial 16S ribosomal RNA". It matches the Rfam family "Bacterial small subunit ribosomal RNA", at positions 29 to 505 of the family's 1533-position model. The record is from RNAcentral.
AGUGAACGCUGGCGGUAGGCCUAACACAUGCAAGUCGAACGGCAGCACAGUAAGAGCUUGCUCUUACGGGUGGCGAGUGGCGGACGGGUGAGGAAUACAUCGGAAUCUACUUUUUCGUGGGGGAUAACGUAGGGAAACUUACGCUAAUACCGCAUACGACCUACGGGUGAAAGCAGGGGAUCUUCGGACCUUGCGCGAUUGAAUGAGCCGAUGUCGGAUUAGCUAGUUGGCGGGGUAAAGGCCCACCAAGGCGACGGUCCGUAGCUGGUCUGAGAGGAUGAUCCGCCACACUGGAACUGAGACACGGUCCAGACUCCUACGGGAGGCAGCAGUGGAGAAUAUUGGACAAUGGGCGCAAGCCUGAUCCAGCCAUACCGCGUGGGUGAAGAAGGCCUUCGUGUUGUAAAGCCCUUUUGUUGGGAAAGAAAAGCAGCAGGUUAAUACCCCGCUGUUCUGACGGUACCCAAAGAAUAAGCACCGGCUAACUUCG